Molecule: small nuclear RNA, 19 nt
Filed under: Arabidopsis thaliana (thale cress)
Lineage: Eukaryota; Viridiplantae; Streptophyta; Magnoliopsida; Brassicales; Brassicaceae
Description: snRNA_14640
Source: RNAcentral
GCUCAGUUCAGGUCUCCAU